RNAcentral lists this ribosomal RNA (1197 nucleotides) under Triticum aestivum (bread wheat). Its description in RNAcentral is "partial small subunit ribosomal RNA". The record is from RNAcentral. Lineage: Eukaryota; Viridiplantae; Streptophyta; Magnoliopsida; Poales; Poaceae.
AUGGAGCUCUUUUGCAGAAACACAUUUGGAAGGGGAGUGGAAAAACAAGCGGAGUUGAUUUCAGUGGCUGAGAUAAUUGUGCACAAGUGCAAGGGAUUGCCUCUUGCUAUCAAGACCAUGGCAACACUACUUUGUUUGAAGCAUCCAACUCAGUGGUUUUCUGUUCUGGAUAGUGAUGUAUGGAAGGAUACAACUACUAGGAUUGCACCUGUACUACAGCUGAGCUAUGAUCACUUGUCAUCAGAAGAGAAAAUAUGUUUUUCCUUCUGUGCUAUUUUCCCCAAGAAUACCGAGCUGGAUAAAGACAUGUUAAUCCAGCUAUGGAUGGUAAAUGACUUAAUUCCAUCAGAAACAAGAGGCCAACAAGUUUUCAAUAUGCUUGUUUGGAGAUGUUUCCUCCAAGAUGUGGAGAUUCAAAAGUGUGUGUUCUCCGAAUGUCCACUUGACAAUCAUCAUUUUAUAUCAAUUGAUACGAUCAUCCACCGACCAACUACUUGCAAGAUGCAUGAUCUCAUGCAUGAUCUGGCUGACUCUGUAAGCGGAAAUGAUUGCUUCAUUCUGCAAGAAUCUUCAUUAUCUCAAGAAAUUCUACAAGGAUCCACAUAUGCUAGUUCAUUACAUCACGAGGUUCGACAUUUGUCAGUUGAUUAUGUCGGUGAUUAUACUAUUGCGGCCAUGGAGGAAAUUCUAGCUCCCCAGCCCCGCACGAUCCUGGGGAGGACUGACACUCCUCUUAGUAUGGCCAAGUCAAAAUUCUUGUCCUUACAAGCAUCGCGGACAUUCCCAACCGAGACAAAUAUGACAUACGUGAAGCAUCUUCACUAUCUGGAUUGUUCUUAUUCUAAUAUAUCUGCACUGCUUGAAGCCACUACCAUGUUGUAUAGCUUGCAAACAUUGAACCUCACUUGUUGUCUAUACCUCGAGAAAUUACCGGAAGGCAUGAGAUAUAUGAGCAGUCUUCGGCACAUCAUCCUUGUUGCGUGUUGUAGUUUGGAUUUCAUGCCACAAGGUAUUGGUCAGCUGAAUUCUCUACAGACAUUGACGAGUUAUGUCGUUCAUCCUAGUGCAGGUCGUGGAAUUGAUCAACUGAAAAUUUUGAAUUUAGGUGAUUGUCUUUCUUUGACUGAGCUGAGAAACGUAUUUAGUCCAGAAGAUGCUAAACAAUGGAAUAUGUCUGCCAAGCAUAAUUUGAAGUGA